This 1589-nucleotide ribosomal RNA is filed under the name Salmonella enterica. RNAcentral's name for it is "partial 23S ribosomal RNA". It matches the Rfam family "Bacterial large subunit ribosomal RNA", at positions 1232 to 2803 of the family's 2925-position model. Lineage: Bacteria; Pseudomonadati; Pseudomonadota; Gammaproteobacteria; Enterobacterales; Enterobacteriaceae. The record is from RNAcentral.
GGGAGCGUUCUGUAAGCCUGUGAAGGUGGCCUGUGAGGGUUGCUGGAGGUAUCAGAAGUGCGAAUGCUGACAUAAGUAACGAUAAAGCGGGUGAAAAGCCCGCUCGCCGGAAGACCAAGGGUUCCUGUCCAACGUUAAUCGGGGCAGGGUGAGUCGACCCCUAAGGCGAGGCCGAAAGGCGUAGUCGAUGGGAAACGGGUUAAUAUUCCCGUACUUGGUGUUACUGCGAAGGGGGGACGGAGAAGGCUAUGUUGGCCGGGCGACGGUUGUCCCGGUUUAAGCGUGUAGGUGUGUGUUCCAGGUAAAUCCGGUUCACUUUAACACUGAGGCGUGACGACGAGGCACUACGGUGCUGAAGCAACAAAUGCCCUGCUUCCAGGAAAAGCCUCUAAGCAUCAGGUAACAUCAAAUCGUACCCCAAACCGACACAGGUGGUCAGGUAGAGAAUACCAAGGCGCUUGAGAGAACUCGGGUGAAGGAACUAGGCAAAAUGGUGCCGUAACUUCGGGAGAAGGCACGCUGACACGUAGGUGAAGUGAUUUACUCACGGAGCUGAAGUCAGUCGAAGAUACCAGCUGGCUGCAACUGUUUAUUAAAAACACAGCACUGUGCAAACACGAAAGUGGACGUAUACGGUGUGACGCCUGCCCGGUGCCGGAAGGUUAAUUGAUGGGGUCAGCGCAAGCGAAGCUCCUGAUCGAAGCCCCGGUAAACGGCGGCCGUAACUAUAACGGUCCUAAGGUAGCGAAAUUCCUUGUCGGGUAAGUUCCGACCUGCACGAAUGGCGUAAUGAUGGCCAGGCUGUCUCCACCCGAGACUCAGUGAAAUUGAACUCGCUGUGAAGAUGCAGUGUACCCGCGGCAAGACGGAAAGACCCCGUGAACCUUUACUAUAGCUUGACACUGAACAUUGAGCCUUGAUGUGUAGGAUAGGUGGGAGGCUUUGAAGCGUGGACGCCAGUCUGCGUGGAGCCGACCUUGAAAUACCACCCUUUAAUGUUUGAUGUUCUAACGUGGACCCGUGAUCCGGGUUGCGGACAGUGUCUGGUGGGUAGUUUGACUGGGGCGGUCUCCUCCUAAAGAGUAACGGAGGAGCACGAAGGUUGGCUAAUCCUGGUCGGACAUCAGGAGGUUAGUGCAAUGGCAUAAGCCAGCUUGACUGCGAGCGUGACGGCGCGAGCAGGUGCGAAAGCAGGUCAUAGUGAUCCGGUGGUUCUGAAUGGAAGGGCCAUCGCUCAACGGAUAAAAGGUACUCCGGGGAUAACAGGCUGAUACCGCCCAAGAGUUCAUAUCGACGGCGGUGUUUGGCACCUCGAUGUCGGCUCAUCACAUCCUGGGGCUGAAGUAGGUCCCAAGGGUAUGGCUGUUCGCCAUUUAAAGUGGUACGCGAGCUGGGUUUAGAACGUCGUGAGACAGUUCGGUCCCUAUCUGCCGUGGGCGCUGGAGAACUGAGGGGGGCUGCUCCUAGUACGAGAGGACCGGAGUGGACGCAUCACUGGUGUUCGGGUUGUCAUGCCAAUGGCACUGCCCGGUAGCUAAAUGCGGAAGAGAUAAGUGCUGAAAGCAUCUAAGCACGAAACUUGCCCCGAG